GAUGAACGCUGGCGGCGUGCCUAAUACAUGCAAGUCGAGCGAACGGACGAGAAGCUUGCUUCUCUGAUGUUAGCGGCGGACGGAUGAGUAACACGUGGAUAACCUACCUAUAAGACUGGGAUAACUUCGGGAAACCGGAGCUAAUACCGGAUAAUAUUUUGAACCGCAUGGUUCAAAAGUGAAAGACGGUCUUGCUGUCACUUAUAGAUGGAUCCGCGCUGCAUUAGCUAGUUGGUAAGGUAACGGCUUACCAAGGCAACGAUGCAUAGCCGACCUGAGAGGGUGAUCGGCCACACUGGAACUGAGACACGGUCCAGACUCCUACGGGAGGCAGCAGUAGGGAAUCUUCCGCAAAGGGCGAAAGCCUGACGGAGCAACGCCGCGUGAGUGAUGAAGGUCUUCGGAUCGUAAAACUCUGUUAUUAGGGAAGAACAUAUGUGUAAGUAACUGUGCACAUCUUGACGGUACCUAAUCAGAAAGCCACGGCUAACUACGUG
RNAcentral lists this ribosomal RNA (497 nucleotides) under uncultured bacterium. RNAcentral describes it as "partial 16S ribosomal RNA". It matches the Rfam family "Bacterial small subunit ribosomal RNA", at positions 28 to 507 of the family's 1533-position model. The record is from RNAcentral.